Molecule: signal recognition particle RNA, 299 nt
Filed under: Cebus imitator (Panamanian white-faced capuchin)
Lineage: Eukaryota; Metazoa; Chordata; Mammalia; Primates; Cebidae
Description: Metazoan signal recognition particle RNA (ENSCCAG00000007137.1)
Rfam family: Metazoan signal recognition particle RNA
About the family: The signal recognition particle (SRP) is a universally conserved ribonucleoprotein.
Source: RNAcentral
GCCGGGCGUGGUGGGGUGUACCUGUAGUCCCAGCUACUUGGGAGACUGAGGUGGGAGGAUCACUUGAGCUUAGGAUUUCUGGGCUGUAGUGUGCUAUGCCAGUCAGGUAUCCACACAAAGUUUGGCAUCAAUAUGGUGACCUCCCAGGAGCAGGGGACCACCAGGUUGCCUAAGGAGGGGUGAACCGGCCCAGGUGGGAAAUGGAGCAGGUCAAAACUCCAGUGCUGAUCAGUAGUGGGAUAGCGCCUGUGAAUAGCCACUGCACUCCAGCCUGGGCAACAUAGGGAGAUCCUGUCUCU